Molecule: RNA transcript, 1974 nt
Organism: Macrobrachium nipponense
Lineage: Eukaryota; Metazoa; Arthropoda; Malacostraca; Decapoda; Palaemonidae
Gene name: 8-oxo-dGDP phosphatase NUDT18-like
Exons: 10
Source: RefSeq, a predicted model, not a curated record
GUUUGUAUGCUGCACCCACUAGGUAUACGUCGUCUCGUCGAAAAUCUUCUUCAGUAGUGAAAGAGACUUUCUCUGGUGAAGUAUCGAUUAGGUGGCUUGCCAGGAUUCUCAAGUUCAGGCGUGUAAAGAUGGAUUCUAUCGAGGAGAAUAUUGGGUUACUACUUCAAGGCAAAGAUAUAGAAGAAUCCCAGGAAUUUUGCGACUUCACUCUUGAAGAUCAGAACGAAGUGACAGAUUCCUCAGCUAUCAGUCCAGACAUGUGCGCCACAGUUGAUGGGAUAGAUUUUGCCAAAGGAGUAGCGCCUUCAUCCCCAGCCACGUUCACGCCCAUCCUGAAGGAGAACGUCUGUUUUAUAGUAGCGGCCGUUCUUGUCAACGAAGAAGGACACGUCCUCAUGAUGCAGGAGGCUAAAAAGUCCUGUGCAGGCCAAUGGUACCUUCCUGCAGGAAGAAUGGAAGAAGGGGAAACCAUAGUGGAAGCUGCAAAGAGAGAAGUUCUGGAAGAAACAGGAUUAGAGACAGAUAUCACAACGUUGCUAAUGGUAGAAUCAGCCUCAGGUUCAUGGUUCAGAUUUGUUGUUACGGGAAAUGUUACGGGAGGUACACUGAAGACCCCAGCGGAUGCUGAUGAAGAAUCAUUGCAAGCGAUGUGGGUUGGUGACUUCUCAGAGCUCACUUUAAGAGGCAAUGACAUUUUCCCUCUCAUUCAGAAAGCAAAGCAAUUUUGGAUGAAGCGAGAGGAACCAUGGCACCCAACAUUGCUCCCAGUCAAUAAACCUUAUACCAGACUUCUCCUCAGACUGGUGAUUGCAAUUCGUAAAAGAGUGAACAACCGAGUUUGCAUUCUAACAAGUGAUAAAACAGCAACUCAUCUUCCAGUGACAGAAAUUAAUCCAGUGAGAUCAGUUCAUUCAACUUUAAGAAAAUACAUGACAGAAAUAUUUGGAUCAGAUUUGCCACCACACAGACCUCAGGGUGUCCUUAGUGUUGAAAUGAAAACCAGCUCCCCCAGUGGUAAUCAUGAUGGCACCUGCAUAACAAUUCUUGUUCCAAUUCGCAAGGCUCUUGAAGAUGUCCCUCUUAUUGAUAAAUAUUCAUGGAUUGAAUUAAGCAAACCUCUAGGGGAAGACCUCCUCACCCGUAUGGGGAAGAACAUGAUUGUACCCUUGAAUGUCAUACGAGUGGCAACCCUUAUCAAUUGAGCUUCUUAAGGUCGCAUCACUUCCCCUGACAUCACCAGCAGAUGAAAUCCGUUUGCGUUACUGGGAAUCUUCUGCUUAGUAAGUUGGAGAAGUCGAGUACUAAGGAAAUUCCAAGUGAUGGUCAUGGUGAUCAUUAUGAGAGUUAAGGCUUCAUUACAUCUAGGGCAUUUAGUGUUAUUCAACUCUGCUGAAUUCUGUUUGUUAGUAACUGGAUUUGGACAGAAUGUGUGAGGGCUUCUGGAACAACUGCAAGACACUAUGAUGAAACAAAAAUUGCCAAUUUUUUGGUCGGAGUAAUGUCUGUACAAAAUUAUCAGCUGAAAUUAUCAGCUUGUUCCUUCAGUUUUCAUUUUAGCAUUCACUUUGAAACAGAUAAAACUAUACUGAAUGCAUUAUUCUAUUAAAAAACUGUGUGUAUGGGUGCACGUACGUGUGCGUGUACUAUCCAAGGUUUAGUUCAUACACUCCCUGACCCUAUGUGUACUAUCCAAGGCUUAGUUCAUACACUCCCUGACCCAAUGUGUACUAUCCAAGGCUUAGUUCAUACACUCCCUGACCCUAUGUGUACUAUCCAAGGUUUAGUUCAUACACUCCCCUGACCCAAUGUGUACUAUCCAAGGCUUAGUUCAUACACUCCCUGACCCUAUGUGUACUAUCCAAGGCUUAGUUUAUACACUCCCUGACCCAAUGUGUACUAUCCAAGGCUUAGUUCAUACACUCCCUGACCCUAUGUGUACUAUCCAAGGCUUAGUUCAUACACUCCCUGACCCAA